CCCUUAGAUGUUCUGGGCCGCACGCGCGCUACAAUGAUGAAUUCAACGAGUUUAUAACCUUGGUUGAAAAGCCUGGGUAAUCUUUUGAACUUUCGUCGUGAUGGGGCUAGACCCUUGCAAUUAUUGGUCUCCAACGAGGAAUUCCUAGUAAACGCAAGUCAUCAGCUUGCAUUGAUUACGUCCCUGCCCUUUGUACACACCGCCCGUCGCACCUACCGAUUGAAUGGUCUGGUGAAAUCUUCGGAUUGAGACUUUGUUUUCUUCACGGAAAACGCUGUUUUAAAAAGUUGAUUAAACCUUACCAUUUAGAGGAAGGUGAAGUCGUAACA
RNAcentral lists this ribosomal RNA (329 nucleotides) under uncultured eukaryote. RNAcentral's name for it is "partial 18S ribosomal RNA". It matches the Rfam family "Eukaryotic small subunit ribosomal RNA", at positions 1470 to 1796 of the family's 1831-position model. The record is from RNAcentral.